CCUGCAAGUGCAUAGAAGUCAAAAAUUGAGGUUUGGGAUCCUCUGCCUAGAUUUCAGAGGGUGUAUAGAAAUGCCUGAUGUCCAGGCAGAAGUCUGCUGUAGGGGCAGGGCUCUCAUGGAGAACCUCUGCUAAGACAGUGCAGAAGGGAAAUGUGUGGUCAGAGCCCCCACACAGAGUCCUUUCCUGGGGCACUGCCUAGUGGAGCUGUGAGAAGAGGGCCACCAUCCUCCAGACCCCAGAAUGGUAGAUCCACCUACAGCUUGCAAAUUGUGCACCUGGAAAAGCCACAGACACUCAAUGCCAGCCCACUAAAGCAGCCAAGAGGGAGACUAUACCCUUCAAAGCCACAGGGGCUAAGUUACCUAAGACCAUGGGAACCCACCUCUUGCAUAAAUGUGAUCUGGAUGUGAGACCUAGCAUCAAAGGAAAUCAUUUUGGGGCUUUAAGAUUUGACUGCCCCAUUGGAUUUCAGACUUGCACGAGGCCUGUAGCCCCUUCAUUUCAGCCAAUUUCUCCCAUUUGGAAUGGCUGUAUUUACCCAAUGAUUGUAUCCCCACUGUAUCUAGGAAGUAACUAACUUGCUUUUGAUUUUACAGGCUCAUAGGCAGAAGGGACUUGCCUUGUCUCAGAUGAGACUUUGGACUGUAGACUUUUGAAUUAAUCCUGACAUGAGUUAAGACUUUGAGGGACUGUUGGGAAAUCAUAACUGGUUUUGAUAUGUGAGGACAUAAGAUUUGGAGGGGCCAUGGGUGGAAUGAUAUGGUUUGGCUUUGUCCCCACCCAAAUCUCAUCUUGAAUUGUAACUCCCACAAUUCCCACAUGUCAUGGGAGGAACCCAGUAGGAGGUAACUGAAUUAUGGGGGUGGGUCUUUUCCCGAGGUUUUAAAAAAACGGGAGGUUCACUGCACAAGCUCUCUCUCUUGCCUGCUACCAUCCAUGUAAGAUGUGACUUGCUCCUCCUUGCCUUCUGCCAUGAUUGUGAGGCCUUCCCAGCCAUGUGGAACUGUAAGUUCAUUAAACCUCUUUCUUUUGUAAAUUGCCCAGUCUUGGGUAUGCCUUUAUCAGCAACAUGAAAAUGGAUGAAUACACCUUGCUUUCCAAAGAAAACAUUGUUUCAACCAAAUCCCACUCCUACCAUCAAUUGUUGUGAGGAUUGUGUGUCCUCCUUCCUUAGUUCAGAGUCCUCCAAAAGAAGACACUGAGACCAGGUUUCAAGGGUAAGUAGAUUGUCUUGGAGGUGACGUCAGAAACCACUGAUGGAGAAGUGACAAAUGAGACAGAAAGGGAAGGAAUUGAUGACAGGGAAUCUCAGGUGAAAAAAACCUCAGGACUAUCCCACCCAAAUAGCAUGGAAGAGUGAGUAUCAUAUAGCAACUCCCUGAAAGAGUUGUGAACUCCCUUCCAUUUCUGCCCUGCUGGAUGGGAAGAAAAGCGGGUCCUGGUAGCUAAGGAAAUCCCUCAGGCAAGAAGAUAUGUGUGCUGCCAACUGGAAGUUGGGCCAGAGAACAUGGAAGUGGUGAAGGCAGGGCAUAGACAGCAUCCACAGCUCAUAUCCAGUCAUUCUCUCAAAGGGACUUCCAUCACAAGAUCUUAUCUAGUGCAGUUUAUUAGAAAAGCAUAUGAAAAGGCUUUCAAAUUAUUAAUAAGAAUUCUUAUAGAAAUGUUCAUCUGUGUCAGGCACCAUAUUUCUGGCUGGGUGAACAUAGAUGUCCUUUACUAUCAAAUUCCAUGGGGCCCAUGAGAAGAGAAUGCAGGACCAGCCAGAUGGCUCAUGCCCAUUGCCAUUUUUACUUUGCUUCUAUGUUACAAGCUGACAAUUUUGCUCUGUGUGUACUGUAAAAUAGCAGACAUUUUCCAAAUUUUGCUCUGGCUUACACUGUUCCUUUUUGCUUUUUCAUUUAUCUUUCUUGUACCCAUAGUUAAAAAAAAAAAAAGCAUUUCACAGAGGUAAGGUUAAGGCUAGAGGCUUAUGUGGUCAGAACAUUUGAGCUCUUCUUGUAAAGGUUCAAGUGAACCUUGUCCUUCCCCAUCUCUGCUUCCUCAGGAAUGAGUUUUCAAAUAUUUCAUUCCAUUUCACUAAAAUCUAGCAAGGCUGGGUCAAGGGCCAAAUAUCUUUGUUCUAAUUCCCGCUCUGCAAAUGAGUACGCAAGUCUCCCCCACCUGCUGACAGAGUCAUCAUAUAGCACAGUGGCAAUGGCUGGCCAUAGACAUUAUCACAGAUAUCACAUUGGAAAUAUUUGUGAAUGACAAUGGGUCAGAUGCCUCAGAUAAAGCUAUCGCAAAAGAUGUAAUCACUGUAGCUAUUAGACUGACAGAAGAAAAUCUAUCAGAGCAAUUCCAAGGAUGCAACUGUGAAGGAUAAGUUGUUCUUCUGGGAAUGUGAGUGUCCCUUGCAGGAACACUGAUGGAGAAUCUCAAAGCCCUGAAGCCCUUAGGGGAUUCAAAGGUUUGAGUUGGCUUCAGCAGCAGCACCACAGGGUAGGCAGAUGUGGGAGGAUGGAAGUUCUUCCUGGGAGCAAGUGAACAGGGGUGAACAAUUUCAGAACUACAGUCUGAGAUCUCACUGAAAAAGCCAUUCAUCCAGAAGACAGGAAAUCAAGAACAGGUCUAGGAUACAGAAAAACUGGGGUCAGUUGGUAAAGAUGGUGGCCAUAGCCCUUAAUCCUCUGAUCCUAUUUUUCACAUAUUUUUCAAUGUUGAGCUUUGUUUCAUUUAUAACUUUUUUUUUUUAAGAUACAGGUAAGGGGCUCACUCUCUCACCCAGAUUGGAAUGCAGUAGUGUGAUCUCAGCUCACUGAGCCUCGACCUCCUAGGCUCAAGCAAUCCUCCCACUUCAGCAUCCUGAGUAACUGGGACUACAUGCACGCACCAUUACACCUGGUUAAUUUUUAUAUUUUUUUUUAUAGAGACGGGACUUUGCCAUGUUGCCUGGGCUGGUCUGAAACUCCUGGCCUGAAGUGACCCACUUGCCUCAGCCUCCCAAAGUGGUGGGAUUAUAGGCUUGAGCCACUACACCCGGCCCACAACUAACCUUUCUUGAGCACUACCUAGGUGUAGGGACCAGUCUCAAUGCUUUGCUUGCAUUAAUACAUGUAAUCCUCACUAUGCUAUGAUUCUGGUAUUAUUAUCAUCCCAUUUUACAAAUGAGAAAAAUUGGAUGCAAUUAAGGUUGUAAAUCUUUCCCAAUGAGUGAAUGGGCAAACAAGGAGGAGAAUGCAGGCCAUUUGUAUUGAAUUGUACCAUGUGCUUCCUCCAUGCAGGCAGGUGGAAGGGGACGAAUAGAAAGGGAAGCAGGAGGAUGUGUGGUGCUAUGGGCACCUUUGCAUGGGAACAGAGCAUCUUGAGUGGGUGGUUUCAACUCAGAAAAGGAAGGCAGGCUACAUGGGAGGAUAAGAAGAAUUGAUAAGAGAGACAACUCAGUACUUCACUGUAGGUGAAGAAAAGGAAGAGUGGCUGAACUCAGAGUAGUGGCAGAGCAAUGAGGAGAGAAAGUUUGGAGAGAAGGGAUCCUGUGUCUUAGGGAGAAAGAAUUUAAGGAAUUUGAUGACUAGGAGGUGAUUCCACCCACCCCUGACCAGACGUCCACUGCCACUCUCUGGUGGUACCUGGUUGUGUUAAUUCUUCCCAGUGGGAAAACCUGUAGAGUGCUGCCUUCUCUGUGGGUGUGCUGGCUCUGAUCACUGCCUCCUCUCUUCCUGCAGCUCAUGGGGACCCAGCUGUGAUGGCAGUGCUGAUCCACAACCCAACAGUAUGGGCUUUCUCCACCCACACUCUUUCUGGAACCUGUACUAGGCCCUGGAGAAUCAAAGAUGAAAGAGAUACAGCUCCACUUAUGAAUGGCAUGAGGAUCUCUGAUGUUCAAAGAGUGGACAAGAAAAAGAAACCUAAGAGGCUUGGAAGAGAGGACAACAUCUUACUCUUUUGCCCUGGCUGGAGUGCAGUGGUGUGAUCAUGGCUCACUGUUGCCUUGAACUCCUAAGCUCAAGAAAUCUUCCUGUCUUAGCAGCCUGAGUAGCUGGGACCAUAGGUACAUGCCAUCAUACCUGGCUCAUCUUUUAUUUUUAUUUUUGUAAAGAUAGAGUCUCGCUAUGUUGCCCAUGAUGGUCUCAAGCUCCUGGCCUCAACAAUUCUCCUGCCUUGGACUCCCAAAGCACUGGGAUUACAAGCAUAAGCCACUGUGUACAGCCCUGUAUCUGUACAUUUUCACAUUGCCUGGUAAUAUGCGUGUCUUACCCCCCAGUUGUAAAUCUUUUAAAAUAUAGACAGUAUCUCAUUGUUGCUCAUUGUUGCUCCUGUAGCAGUACCUAUCUCAUCACAUGGUGAUUAAUAUAAAUAAUCAAUGUGUAAUCAGUAUGGCUGGAUGGUUAAGUGACUGAAUGGAAAUGAAGGGCAUUCCAAGUGGAUGGAUCUAUAGGAGCAAAGGCCUUCAAGCGGAAGUUUAAGAUAUGUGAAAAAAAAAUACUAGGAGACAAGGUCCUAAAGGAAAAUUAGUGCUAUAUCCUAGGGAUGUCAGGCUGAGAAUUAGAAAAUAUAUCUUGGACACAAUAGGCAAUCAUCGAUCAACAGAAUAUUCCUGUGGUUAUACUGCAUUCACCCUUUUUUUUUUUUUUUAAGAGAAGACCUACCUCUAUAUUUGCUGGAUAUAGGAUUCAAAAGAGAACUCGCAACCUUUGCACAUGAUCUUAUCUCCUUGCUACAGCAAUUGUUCAAAGGGUGGACACUGAACUAACCAGAGAAUGCUGCCUUCUUGUUUAUCCAAGGAUGUUGUUGGGCUCAGAAAAUAAUAUCCCAAAUGGUGCUUUGGCAUGCUGAGCACUUUGAAUUUUGAAUUAAAGGAAAUUGGAAGGCCUUAGAAGCUGCCUCAAAAUCAAAAUCUUUCUGACCUUUCCUUGUUUCUGUCCCCAAGUGUGGGGAGGGGCUCUCUCUGAGUUCCUUUAUCUGACUCAGAAGUACUUCCAAAAGAAACAUAAUUGCCUUCAAUCUCCUGUCUGAAAUCUCAUUAACUAGGAAAGAUUAAUCACUGAAGAAGAAACUAAAGGUUAUGCCACACUCCCUUUAACAGACUUUUCAUCUAUUCUUCUGAGGGUGGCUAUCUGAAAGACUUUAUCUGCAUAAGAAAACCUUUGUUGGCCGUGCAGUUCUGCCCCUCACCUUCCCAUAACUUCUUGCCACCUCCCCCAGAGUCCAGAGGAAAUUUGUCCCAGGCUAUUGCCUGUUAUUGAGGCUCAUUCAUCUCCCCUAAAUAUUAUUUACUCUUUCUUUAAAAGUGCUUACACCUCCCACUUUUCUCUCCCCUAUGAAGAGGUAUUUAAGCUUCAAGCAUCUGGCCUCCUCCUUUGAAUUUCAAGCUAAGUGUGACUCCCAUGGGCUUUCACAUUAAUAAAUUUGAACAUUUUUCUCCUGUUAAUCUGUCUGUUGCUAGUUUAUUUUAGCAGAUGUAGAGAUGAAAGCCUUCAGAAAGCAAUGUUAGAAUUCCUUUUGUGCCUACGAUGUGCACAUAACCAAACUCAGGUCAAUCAAGGGACUUCUCUGGGAUAAUUUUCUAACCUGCACCAGGAAAAGAAGUGUCUUUCCCUAUAAGGGUAUAUGCUGUCAUUGGCUAGGUUCCCCAUCAUGGACAAAAAGUGGGUCUAAAGUUAAAGAAACUCAAUGCAACAUGCAAAGAAGAACAAAGAUAAGAAGGAGCAAGAGAAGUACUUGGUGCCUGUUGUCAGGCUACUGCCCUUUUACCCAGGUAGGCCAGUUGAAUCUGGGCCUCUAUAACCUACAAUCAGGUACUUGUGAUUGCAUAGCUUCUUUCUCAUUGCAACAGCACCCUGGACUUUAAGGAGAGUCCAGGAAUGACUCUCUGGCUCAACAACACAUGUCUCAUCACUACAUGCUGCCCAGAGAUUUAUUUCAAAAGGGAGACUAUAAUACCAAGGGGAGCUUCCCCUAAGAGUCAUCAACAUGAAGCCCAUCAUGUCUAUGUCCCCAUUUAUUCUCUUUUUAAAUGCUAAACUUCUUUAAAUAGUUAUAAAUAGAAGAUUUCAAACAGGAGAGAUGAUAUACAGAUACAGAGAUAAACUAAACCAGAUUAGGUGUUUAAAAGAUGUAAUAAAAUAGCAUCCUUUUCACCAGAUUUUUGAAGACAGUGACAAGGGGUGUUGGGAACUGUGCAUUAGAAGUAUAACGCUAUAGAAAGACUUUUGUAUCUAUUUCAGAAUUUUUGCUAUGUAAUACAAUAACAGUAAGAAAAGAAGCAAGAGCUAGCUGAGAGACCUAAUUUUAAAAAAAGACAUUUCAGACUUCUCUUGGCACGAAUUUGCAUCUUAUUAACAUCGAGCUGAUAAGAGGUCUUAUUUUCACAUUUAUUGCAGAAAGAAUUAUCUCUUUUCAAUGAUACUUGAGUCCAAUAUUAUACACAUAGCACAUGAAAUGCAGAUGAAGUUUCAAGCCCAUCAUAUCCAAGGUUUGACAAGAAUAAGUGAGAUGACAACAAUUAAACAUAAUUUCUGAAGCCACAGACCAAGUGUCAUUUAAUUUAUGUAGUCUUCCCAAGUAACCCUGGAAGAAUUAAUCACUUCCUCUUUCUGGUCCAAUAACAUUUUUGAACACACUUUUAUAUAUAAGGUAGACUGUGUUAGAAGCAGCAUAGAGUCACAAGUUGAAAUACCAUUGUUGUUUCCUUCACUGCAAAAUGGAUAUAUUGUAGAAUAUGCAAUCUACAAUUUGAGAGAGAAAAAAACAAGAAAAAAAUGCAAUAUAAGGUAAUUAUCAAAAUUUCUGGCAUUAAGUAAAUUCUCCUAAAUUAGUCAGUAUAAUAGUUCCCUUUUUUUGGUUCAGAUACAAAAGUUGGCCAGCCCUCUCCUGCCCACCAACAUAUCACUCCAAAAUAACCACAGUGAUAAUGACUAGGUGUCUAUUUUUAAUUUUUUCAAAGAAAAUAGGUGAUGAGAAAUGAACCCUAUCCUAUUUGAGGAGACUCUCGACAGGUGACCAGACUUUAACCUAACUGCAUGAUUAUCUAAAUACAGAGAUAACAUAAAUAAAUAGCAAGAAACAGCAUACCCAUCAACAACUGUCGUUUUGCUUUCUUCUUCUAUAUGGUUAUGGAACAUGUGUUGUUCUCCACAUUAUGGUGCAAGGUACUUAUUGUGAUGCCACUUUCAAUGCCAAACUAUAGUAGUGUGUUCAGAAUUUAAUGCAAAUGAAAAUAUAAAAGUAGUAUUAUAAACAGUUUAUGUGGAUGAAUGCAGCUAUUUUUUCCUAAACUGAAUGUGGCUCUUUCCUAAACUGAUUAUUGUGAGUUUUCUGACUUUCUUCUAUAGUCUAUCUUCUUAAAUAUUAUAUCAGCUAUCAGUUACUUCUCAAAGUCUAUCUGCUUUAAUCAAUUCUGAACAUGUUAUUACUAUCUUAAAGCAAGAAUACAUAAGAUCUAAAUGAAGCCUGGAAAAUGCAUUUAUCCAAAAAAAUGUGAAUGUAGUGCAAGCAUUUUUUGAUGUGUAUUUUGGCUUUUGCUUACCACUUCUGCUUUAAAUAAUUGACGUUGACUUAAACACUUCUGAUAAGAUGUCCUACAUGCUUAUAAUCUAUUUGUCAUAUAUACUUUUUAGGAUGAUAUAAAGUACAUGAAGCAAAAAGAUGACAUCAUCUAAUCGUGUUACUGUGAGCAGAGAAGAAUUCAAAUUCAGGCAUCCAGGGUAACCAAUUUUAUGGGACACAUGUGACUCAGCCUUAGCCUCCUUCUCUACAAUUACAUUUCCCCACCUGGGAUUUCACAGAUCAGCAGUAAACAAACUCCAAGUUUCAUUUCCGUAAAGUGACAGAAGAUGGGUCCCCUGAGUGAAGACGGCCUUCUACCCUUCAUCUGAGAAAUUUAAACCAGUAGAUUUGAUAAUAAAUGUUAAGGGUAUUCAAUUAACAUACAAAGUGGCAGCUGGAAAGGGCACCGCAGACAGAUGUCUGGCUAGAGUCAGUUCUGUGCCCAGGAGAGACAAAGUAGCUAAUAAAUGCUGUUCUCUAUUUAUGUGUUGACUUCUGAGACACUCCACUUUGAGUGUUUUCUUGGUAAAGAGUUCAUCUGAUCUCAAGAACCCACCCCCCAAGGAGGGAAAGUCCAUUGUCUUUGCCUUAGAUUGGCAGGUAGAGUAAAUGAAAAAUUAAGAAAUUAUGUGAAUUCCCCCAAAGAGAAGAGAAGGGCUAGAGUGACUAUUUUAUGUUACGUGGAGAUGAGGGUGUGCUUAUUCUUUCAGCUGACAUAAUCUAUUAACAUAUGUAAAAUGCUUAUAAAGAGUCUCCAGCACAUGUUAAGUGCUGAAUAACACAGCCACCACCACCACCAGCAUCACAUACUAUUGACAGGCAUUGUACUAACUUCCUGGGAUUCAAACAUUAAACAUACAUAUUAAACAUAUGUACAAAUAAAACACCUCUAUGUGUUCAAAAAAUACACGUAUACAAAUGAAUAAGUCCAAUAGACUUCUGUGAAAAGUGAAUCUACAAAGACUCACAUAAAAUCAUGGUUAUGGCUGGUAGACUAGCAGGUUAAGUGAAGGAGGUCUUCAAGGAAGAGUUAGCACAAUCUAGGAACUGUUCACCAAGCAGGUAAGAGAAAAAGACCUUCACAAACACGGAAGAAACAAACACACCCUGGUAAACUUGGGGAAUUAUAAGAAGCCCAGUUUGACUGUUGACUCUGAUGUGAUGAGUUAAGGGAAAGAAAUGAGGCUAGGAGGAGGUAAACUUGUGGGCUCACUUUGUGGAAGUCUUUGCUGCCCUACUAAGGAAUUGGAGCUGUAUGUCAUAGAAAUCCAUUUGACAAUUUCAAGGGGGCCAUGUUACAGGAUCUCUAAAGAUAGCAUGCCCUUCAAUUUGCAAAAACACAUGCCAUUUAAACUCCCUGUGCUGACUUCCUCACUAAUAGAGUGAAGGUUAUUAUGGAUGGAAGGAGUAACAUGAUAGAAGCAAAAGCAACGCUAAAACAUUACAGGGAUGUAUGAUAUACUAGUUUAUUUUCACACUACUAUAAAGAACUACCUGAGACUGGGUACGUUAUAAAGAAAAGAGGUUUAAUUGACUCACAGUUCCACAUAGCUGGGGAGGCCUCAGGAAACUUACAAUCAUGGAGAAAGGCCAAGGGGAAGAAAGGCAUGUCUUACAUGGCAGCCAGGGAGAGAGAGCAAGGAUGAAAUCAUCAAAUCUAGUGAGAACUCACUAUCCCGAGAACAGCUGAGGGAAAUCCAACCCCAAUGAUCCAGUCAUCUCCCAACAGGUCCCUCCCCUGACACAUGUGGAUUAAAAUUCUACAUGAGAUUUGGGUGGGGACAAAGAACCAAACCGUAUCAAGGGAAAUCACAGAAUUUUGUGUUGUCAUCAAAAAUUUGAAAAAAGCAGGGUGGAGGUGAGUCUUAUCACAUCUCCAUUUAACUUGCCUGUCUGAUUCUUAUAGAAGUUGGAUGGGUUUCAGACACAGCCAAUGGAUUAUUGCAAACAAAACAGAGUUGACUCCAAAAUUGCUAUAGCUAUUCCAGCUGUAGUCAUUUUACUGGAUCAAAUAAACACAGCUUAGGAACGUAGUAUGGAAUUACUCAAAAAAAUUAUUUACUUCUAUCCCAGGGAUCCACAAGCAAUACCCAUGGGUAAAAUCUGAUCCUCAGUUUUUAUAAAUAAAGUUUUAUUGGAACACAAUCAUGCCCAUUCCCUAACAUAUUGCCUAUGGCUACUUUUAUGCCACAGUGACAGAGUUGAAUAGCUGCAAGAAAGAUUGUGGCUCACAAAGCUUAAACUAUUUAGUAUCUAGCUCUUUUUAGAAAAAGUUUGUUGACACCUGCCCUAUCAUAAUGAAGACGAGAAGCAGGCUGCUUUCACGUAGCAUAAACAUCAGUAUACCUCUCCUGAAACUAUCCCAGGCCAUGAUAACUCUUAUGUGCUCUUCAAAACUCAGUCCACAGAAUUUUGAUCAUUUUAAUAUGCCACAGAACAUCUUACUGGUCCACAUACACAUUUGGUUUCUUGCUGAUAGGAUCUGGUGAUCAGAAAAUAGAAAGUGCCUCUGAAAGAGAAAACCUGCAUGAUCUUGCUUGUUUAUAGAUUAUAAGUGUCAAACUCUUAUAAGCAAGUUGAAUGGUGGUUACUAGAGGCUGGGCUAGGGGUGGAGGGGAAGACCGGGGAGAUGUUAGUCCAAGAAUACAAUAUUUCAGAUCAACCAGAGAAAAAGGUUCAGGAUAACUAUAUUAUACAAUACAGGGACUAUGGUUAAUAAUAAUAAUGUAACAUACUUGAAAAUUGUGAAGAGAGUAGACUUUAAGUGUUUUCACCAUAAAAAACAUUUUUAAGGUAAUGGAUAUGUUAAUGAGUUUGAUUUAGUCAUUACACAAUGUAUACACUUAUCAAAACAUUAUAUUGUAUGCCAUAAAUGUAUACAACUUUUGUCAAUUAAAA
This 10423-nucleotide long non-coding RNA is filed under the name Homo sapiens (human). Its description in RNAcentral is "HSALNT0144388". Lineage: Eukaryota; Metazoa; Chordata; Mammalia; Primates; Hominidae. The record is from RNAcentral.